RNAcentral lists this ribosomal RNA (208 nucleotides) under uncultured bacterium. RNAcentral describes it as "partial 16S ribosomal RNA". It matches the Rfam family "Bacterial small subunit ribosomal RNA", at positions 1293 to 1500 of the family's 1533-position model. The record is from RNAcentral.
UCGGAUUGCAGGCUGCAACCCGCCUGCAUGAAGCCGGAAUCGCUAGUAAUCGCGGAUCAGAAUGCCGCGGUGAAUACGUUCCCGGGUCUUGUACACACCGCCCGUCACACCAUGGGAGUCGGGAAUGCCCGAAGUCAGUGGCCCAACCGGAAGGGGGGAGCUGCCGAAGGCAGGCCCGGUGACUGGGGUGAAGUCGUAACAAGGUAAC